RNAcentral lists this ribosomal RNA (486 nucleotides) under uncultured bacterium. RNAcentral's name for it is "partial 16S ribosomal RNA". It matches the Rfam family "Bacterial small subunit ribosomal RNA", at positions 28 to 507 of the family's 1533-position model. The record is from RNAcentral.
GAUGAACGCUGGCGGCGUGCCUAAUACAUGCAAGUCGAACGCUGGAAAUCUAGCUUGCUAGAUUGAAGGAGUGGCGAACGGGUGAGUAAUACAUAAGCAACCUACCCACGAAGACUGGGAUAAUCUCUGGAAACGGGGACUAAUACCGGAUAGGUAAUCGGAAGGCAUCUUCUGAUUAUUAAAGGUUAAAAACACUGGUGGAUGGGCUUAUGGCGCAUUAGUUAGUUGGUGAGGUAACGGCCCACCAAGACGAUGAUGCGUAGCCGGCCUGAGAGGGUGAACGGCCACAUUGGGACUGAGACACGGCCCAGACUGCUACGGGAGGCAGCAGUAGGGAAUGUUCGGCAAUGGGGGAAACCCUGACCGAGCAACGCCGCGUGAGUGAUGACGGCCUUCGGGUUGUAAAGCUCUGUUGUAAGGGAAGAACGGUAGAUAGAGAAUAUCUAAAUGACGGUACCUUACCAGAAAGCCACGGCUAACUACGUG